RNAcentral lists this long non-coding RNA (559 nucleotides) under Fukomys damarensis (Damara mole-rat). RNAcentral describes it as "lncRNA (ENSFDAG00000028587.1)". Lineage: Eukaryota; Metazoa; Chordata; Mammalia; Rodentia; Bathyergidae. The record is from RNAcentral.
AUGGCCACUGCAGAAGAGUGGCACAGCAGUAUAAUGAACCUUCAACUAGUUCUAGCGUGGAAUCUGGUGACCUGUCUCAACAAUGACCCUUUUCAAACAUAUGAACUACUUAAUCUGAAAUUUCAGGGCAGACAUUGGGACUAUGCUGGUAUGCAGAGUAUCAUCUGCCAAGAAAUCUGUGCAGAGAGCAAAUUUACAAGGAUGGCAGACUUCAAAGCACCGGGGUCAGAGGUAAUUGAACCACACAAGAACAGACAUCUGAAGUUUCAGGAAGAGCCUCUGCCAGGGAGGCUGCGACUGAAAGCAUUUUGCCAAGGUUGAGUAGGAUGGCAUCCAGAACUGGGGACUAUUACCACAAUAUCACUCUUGGAGUCCAAAAAAAUUAAAAAGGAUUUAAAAAUCAUUAAACUGAACUCUUGACUAGCGAAGCUUUGGUAUUCGGCUAAGGCAUUUGAUAGGAAAACCUUCCUUAGCAACCAGUCAGUCAUGAUCUCUUGGCUAUGUUCACGCGUGUCUUCAUCAUCCCUUCAGAUUUUUGCAUUUUUUUCUGUACACCCCA